UCCGCCUGGGUAGUACGGCCGCAAGGCUAAAACUCAAAGGAAUAGACGGGGACUUGCACAAGCAGUGGAUCAUGUGGUUUAAUUCGAUGACAAACGAAGAACCUUACCAGGGCUAGAAACCCCAACGAACUCCAGUGGAAACAUUGGAGGUCCGCAAGGACGGUGGGGCAGGUGAUGCAUGGCCGUCGUCAGUUCGUGACUUGAGUUGUUCCCUUCAGUGGGGUAACGAACGCAACCCUUGUUGCCUGUUACAAGUGUCAGGCGAGACUGCCCCCUUUCGGGGGAGGAAGGUGGGGAUGACGCCAGGUCAGCAUGUCCCUUGAUGUCCUGGGCUACACACAUGAUACAAUGGCCGCUACAACGGGUUGCGACGGGGUAACCCUAAGCUAAUCCUAAUAAAGGCGGCCUCAGUUCGGAUUGAGGGCUGCAACUCGACCUCAUGAAGUUGGAAUUGCUAGUAAUCGCGGGUCAGCUAUACCGCGGUGAAUACGUUCUCAAGUCUUGUACUCACCGCCCGUCAACUCAAGGGAGUUGGGAGUACCCGAAAUCUCGCGUUCGCGGGCCUAAGGUAAACUCAAUGACAGGGAGUAAGUCGUAACAAGGCACGGCUAGCGGAAGCUG
This 621-nucleotide ribosomal RNA is filed under the name Candidatus Zambryskibacteria bacterium RIFCSPHIGHO2_01_FULL_43_25. Its description in RNAcentral is "bacterial SSU rRNA". It matches the Rfam family "Bacterial small subunit ribosomal RNA", at positions 868 to 1514 of the family's 1533-position model. Lineage: Bacteria; Candidatus Zambryskiibacteriota. The record is from RNAcentral.